AUACGUAGGUGGCGAGCGUUGUCCGGGAUUACUGGGCGUAAAGGAUGCGUAGGUGGAUAUUUAAGUGGGAUGUGAAAUCCCCGGGCUCAACCCGGGAACUGCAUUCCAAACUGGGUAUCUAGAGUGCAGGAGAGGAAAGCGGAAUUCCUAGUGUAGCGGUGAAAUGCGUAGAUAUUAGGAGGAACACCAGUGGCGAAGGCGGCUUUCUGGACGGUAACUAACACUGAGGCAAGAAAGCGUGGAUGGCAAACAGGAUUGGAUCCCCUGGUAGGCCACGCCGUAAACGAUGGGUACUAGGUGUAGGAGGUAUCGACCCCUUCUGUGCCGUCGUUAACACAAUAAGUACCCCGCCUGGGGAGUACGGUCGCAAGACUAAAACUCAAAGGAAUUGACGGGG
RNAcentral lists this ribosomal RNA (397 nucleotides) under uncultured bacterium. RNAcentral describes it as "partial 16S ribosomal RNA". It matches the Rfam family "Bacterial small subunit ribosomal RNA", at positions 523 to 918 of the family's 1533-position model. The record is from RNAcentral.